UGCGGCGGACGGGUGACGUAAGCGCGUGGGUUACCGUGCCCUAUACACACGGAUAACAUAUCGAAAGAUAUGCUAAUACGAGAUAAUACAUUUUUAAGGCAUCUUAGAAAUGUCAAAGAUUUUAUCGGUGUAGGAUGGACCCGCGUCCCAUUAGCUAGUUGGUGAGGUAAAAGCUCACCAAGGCGACGAUGGGUAGCCGACCUGAGAGGGUGAUCGGCCACACUGGAACUGAGACACGGUCCAGACUCCUACGGGAGGCAGCAGUGGGGAAUAUUGCACAAUGGGGGAAACCCUGAUGCAGCAACGCCGCGUGAGCGAUGAAGGCCUUCGGGUCGUAAAGCUCUGUCCUAAGGGAAGAUAAUGACGGUACCUUAGGAGGAAGCCCCGGCUAACUACGUGCCAGCAGCCGCGGUAAUACGUAGGGGGCAAUCGUUAUCCGGAAUAACUGGGCGUAAAGGGUGCGUAGGCGGCCCUGCAAGUCAGAAGUGAAAGGCUACGGCUCAACCGUAGUAAGCUUUUGAAACUGUUAGGGCUUGAGUGC
RNAcentral lists this ribosomal RNA (541 nucleotides) under uncultured bacterium. RNAcentral's name for it is "bacterial SSU rRNA". It matches the Rfam family "Bacterial small subunit ribosomal RNA", at positions 94 to 649 of the family's 1533-position model. The record is from RNAcentral.